Molecule: ribosomal RNA, 253 nt
Filed under: uncultured bacterium
Lineage: Bacteria
Description: partial 16S ribosomal RNA
Rfam family: Bacterial small subunit ribosomal RNA
Source: RNAcentral
UACGUAGGUGGCAAGCGUUGUCCGGAUUUACUGGGCGUAAAGGGCGUGCAGGCGGUUUGUUAAGUGCAGGGUGAAAGCUCCCGGCUCAACUGGGAGAGGUCCUUGCAUACUGGCAGACUUGAGGGAGGCAGAGGAAAGUGGAAUUCCCGGUGUAGUGGUGAUAUGCGUAGAUAUCGGGAGGAACACCUGUGGCGAAGGCGGCUUUCUGGGCCUUACCUGACGCUGAGGCGCGAAAGCGUGGGGAGCGAACCGG